GACGAACGCUGGCGGCGUGCCUAAUACAUGCAAGUAGAACGCUGAAGGAGGAGCUUGCUUCCCUGGAUGAGUUGCGAACGGGUGAGUAACGCGUAGGUAACCUGCCUGGUAGCGGGGGAUAACUAUUGGAAACGAUAGCUAAUACCGCAUAACAGUAGAUAUCGCAUGAUAGCUGCUUGAAAGGUGCAAAUGCACCACUACCAGAUGGACCUGCGUUGUAUUAGCUAGUUGGUGAGGUAACGGCUCACCAAGGCAACGAUACAUAGCCGACCUGAGAGGGUGAUCGGCCACACUGGGACUGAGACACGGCCCAGACUCCUACGGGAGGCAGCAGUAGGGAAUCUUCGGCAAUGGACGGAAGUCUGACCGAGCAACGCCGCGUGAGUGAAGAAGGUUUUCGGAUCGUAAAGCUCUGUUGUAAGAGAAGAACGAGUGUGAGAGUGGAAAGUUCACACUGUGACGGUAUCUACCAGAAAGGAC
This 480-nucleotide ribosomal RNA is filed under the name Streptococcus infantis. RNAcentral describes it as "bacterial SSU rRNA". It matches the Rfam family "Bacterial small subunit ribosomal RNA", at positions 28 to 493 of the family's 1533-position model. Lineage: Bacteria; Bacillati; Bacillota; Bacilli; Lactobacillales; Streptococcaceae. The record is from RNAcentral.